This 77-nucleotide transfer RNA is filed under the name Lysinibacillus sp. BF-4. RNAcentral's name for it is "tRNA-Arg". It matches the Rfam family "tRNA". From Rfam's summary of the family: Transfer RNA (tRNA) molecules are approximately 80 nucleotides in length. Lineage: Bacteria; Bacillati; Bacillota; Bacilli; Caryophanales; Bacillaceae. The record is from RNAcentral.
GUCUCCGUAGCUCAGCUGGAUAGAGCAAUGCCCUUCUAAGGCAUCGGUCGCAGGUUCGAAUCCUGCCGGGGACGCUA